RNAcentral lists this ribosomal RNA (397 nucleotides) under uncultured bacterium. Its description in RNAcentral is "bacterial SSU rRNA". It matches the Rfam family "Bacterial small subunit ribosomal RNA", at positions 60 to 451 of the family's 1533-position model. The record is from RNAcentral.
AGUCGAGCGGCAGCGGGAAAGUAGCUUGCUACUUUUGCCGGCGAGCGGCGGACGGGUGAGUAAUGCCUGGGGAUCUGCCCAGUCGAGGGGGAUAACUACUGGAAACGGUAGCUAAUACCGCAUACGCCCUACGGGGGAAAGCAGGGGACCUUCGGGCCUUGCGCGAUUGGAUGAACCCAGGUGGGAUUAGCUAGUUGGUGAGGUAAUGGCUCACCAAGGCGACGAUCCCUAGCUGGUCUGUUAGGAUGAUCAGCCACACUGGAACUGAGACACGGUCCAGACUCCUACGGGAGGCAGCAGUGGGGAAUAUUGCACAAUGGGGGAAACCCUGAUGCAGCCAUGCCGCGUGUGUGAAGAAGGCCUUCGGGUUGUAAAGCACUUUCAGCGUGGAGGAAAG